AACGAACGCUGGCGGCAGGCCUAACACAUGCAAGUCGAGCGCCCUUUCGGGGGAGCGGCGGACGGGUGAGUAACGCGUGGGAAUAUGCCCUUCUCUACGGAAUAGCCUCGGGAAACUGAGAGUAAUACCGUAUACGCCCUGUGGGGGAAAGAUUUAUCGGGGAAGGAUUAGCCCGCGUUGGAUUAGGUAGUUGGUGGGGUAAUGGCCUACCAAGCCGACGAUCCAUAGCUGGUGUGAGAGGAUGAUCAGCCACACUGGGACUGAGACACGGCCCAGACUCCUACGGGAGGCAGCAGUGGGGAAUCUUAGACAAUGGGGGCAACCCUGAUCUAGCCAUGCCGCGUGAGUGAUGAAGGCCUUAGGGUUGUAAAGCUCUUUCAGCUGGGAAGAUAAUGACGGUACCAGCAGAAGAAGCCCCGGCUAACUCCGUG
Molecule: ribosomal RNA, 431 nt
Filed under: uncultured bacterium
Lineage: Bacteria
Description: partial 16S ribosomal RNA
Rfam family: Bacterial small subunit ribosomal RNA
Source: RNAcentral